This 435-nucleotide ribosomal RNA is filed under the name uncultured bacterium. RNAcentral's name for it is "partial 16S ribosomal RNA". It matches the Rfam family "Bacterial small subunit ribosomal RNA", at positions 341 to 792 of the family's 1533-position model. The record is from RNAcentral.
ACGGAAGGCAGCAGUGGGGGAUAUUGCACAAUGGGGGAAACCCUGAUGCAGCGACGCCGCGUGAGUGAAGAAGUAUUUCGGUAUGUAAAGCUCUAUCAGCAGGAAAGAUAAUGACGGUACCUGACUAAGAAGCACCGGCUAAAUACGUGCCAGCAGCCGCGGUAAUACGUAUGGUGCAAGCGUUAUCCGGAUUUACUGGGUGUAAAGGGAGCGUAGGCGGCGAUGCAAGUCAGAUGUGAAAACCCGGGGCUCAACCCCGUGGACUGCAUUUGAAACUGUAUUGCUAGAGUAUCGGAGAGGUUAGUGGAAUUCCUAGUGUAGCGGUGAAAUGCGUAGAUAUUAGGAAGAACACCGGUGGCGAAGGCGGCUAACUGGACGAAAAUUGACGCUGAGGCUCGAAAGCGUGGGGAGCAAACAGGAUUAGAUACCCUGGUA